RNAcentral lists this small RNA (387 nucleotides) under Histoplasma capsulatum. RNAcentral describes it as "hypothetical RNA". The record is from RNAcentral. Lineage: Eukaryota; Fungi; Ascomycota; Eurotiomycetes; Onygenales; Ajellomycetaceae. RNAcentral also lists the same sequence under 1 other name.
ACUAGGUUGCCAAAACUAUGUGACCCUACGCAGUAGAUCAAUACUUAUGACAGAAUCAAAAGAUUGAAUUACUCAGUGUGCUAAUUUGCUUCCUGAUUUGAAAUAGAAGUACCCUUGCCCACCUACCUUCCGACUUCUGACUGGAUGAAUCCACAAACAGGGGAGUUUCGGAGCGGCAAAGGCUCUUCAAUCACACAAGCACUUGAACUCAAGCGGGGUAUAUAUCCGGAUGGUCGACAAGGCACCUCCUACUAACGGGAGCUAACCGCUAAACUAUCUGUAAAGUACUGCACUGUGCUUGCGGGCCAAAAGCUGCGAGUCAAGGCCCGGAGAGUCAUAGCUUUGCAGGCUCCCACUCCAAAUGCGCUCUUACUUCGUGCCGAAGCA